RNAcentral lists this ribosomal RNA (253 nucleotides) under uncultured bacterium. RNAcentral's name for it is "partial 16S ribosomal RNA". It matches the Rfam family "Bacterial small subunit ribosomal RNA", at positions 524 to 776 of the family's 1533-position model. The record is from RNAcentral.
UACGUAUGGUCCUAGCGUUGUCCGGAAUAACUGGGCGUAAAGGGUGUGUAGGCGGAUAUCCGUGUCAGGUGUGAAAUCCCCCGGCUUAACUGGGGCAUUGCGCUUGAAACUGGAUAUCUGGAGCAUGUCAGGGGUAAGCGGAAUUCCCGGAGUAGCGGUGAAAUGCGUAGAUAUCGGGAAGAACACCGGUGGCGAAGGCGGCUUACUGGGGCAUGGCUGACGCUGAGGCACGAAAGCGUGGGGAGCGAACGGG